GAUGAGCCUUUGGGUCGCUCGUU
Molecule: non-coding RNA, 23 nt
Filed under: Arabidopsis thaliana (thale cress)
Lineage: Eukaryota; Viridiplantae; Streptophyta; Magnoliopsida; Brassicales; Brassicaceae
Source: RNAcentral